CGCCCAACAGCUAGCCCCCUCCACCAACACCAACAAACCCACAUCAAUAACCCCUAAUACCCUUAAACCACCCCCGAACAAACCAUUUUCCCCCCUUAGUACAGGCGAUAGAAAAG
RNAcentral lists this ribosomal RNA (116 nucleotides) under Lutjanus argentimaculatus (mangrove red snapper). Its description in RNAcentral is "partial 16S rRNA". The record is from RNAcentral. Lineage: Eukaryota; Metazoa; Chordata; Actinopteri; Lutjaniformes; Lutjanidae.